AAUACAAGGUAUCACAUCAUAAAAAUGAUCAAUUUACAAAGAAAGAAGAGAGCCAGCGAGCUCUACAGCAGUUCACCAACACUAAAAAUUUUACAGUUAACUAAAAGAAAAACUAUAAUUCCAUGAACGACGGGACUUUGAGUUUUUCUUAGACAUCAACAGUUUCUGUAGAAGGUGAAGACAUCAACAGUUUAAACAGAAACCCGGCCAUUAACCCAAUGAGUCCCACCAGAAGUGCAAACUUUAGAGAGAAGCCUGCGUCACUUCUCCGCCUUUUUUGUCUCUUCAGCACUUCCAGUUCCUGUUGCAGCUGCUGCGUUUGUCGGAAAACUGCAUCUCUUUCAUCUCUGGCACGCUGCACUGCUUGACUAGAGUUGCCAUCAGAACUUUGUUUAAACGCAUCUUCAGAAUGUCCCGGAGAUGAGUGAGGAGAGAUGUAAACAACCCUAAGCUUGCACUCUUCUACAUUUCUUCCACUAUCCUUAUUAAAAGUAUCUGGAGGAAGUUCCUCAGCAUCACUAUUCACAAUGGUGCUCUGUAAGAGGAACUUGUCCUUGCAUUGCAUGUCCGAGGGAUACUCCUUUUGAGCUUGAAGGGUGACUCGUAUAAAACAUGAAUCCCAAGGAUGUAUAACACCCGUGUUUGGACGAACAAAAUACUUCUUAGGAGAAGUAGUUUUCACCUUGAAAGCAACAUAACUCUCUGUGCUGUUUGUAACUUUAAGAUCACAGUAGCUUUGUUUCUCCAGCUCAAAUUGGAAUUUGAGCUCCUCCGGACUAACAGAUAUAAACUGGUUUGUAGCACCAGUCAUGAUCACGAUCGAACCUCAAAGUAAUCGGCUAUUAAAAACCUUUUCACCGGAGAAAGAUCUGAAAGUAGCUUUACGGAGAGCUCCG
Molecule: unclassified non-coding RNA, 896 nt
Filed under: Hevea brasiliensis (rubber tree)
Lineage: Eukaryota; Viridiplantae; Streptophyta; Magnoliopsida; Malpighiales; Euphorbiaceae
Source: RNAcentral